This 712-nucleotide ribosomal RNA is filed under the name uncultured fungus. Its description in RNAcentral is "eukaryotic LSU rRNA". The stretch from base 227 to 381 matches the Rfam family "5.8S ribosomal RNA". Lineage: Eukaryota; Fungi. The record is from RNAcentral.
CAUUAUCGAAUUUCGAGGGGGGGAAGAUGGAGGGGGAGACUGUCGCUGGCUUUCGCCGUGCACGUCUUCCUUUUCGUCGACCUUUCUCUUACUCUCACACCUGUGCACACAUUGUAGGUCCUCGAAAGAGGAUCUAUGUUUUCAUCAUCACACACACUGUAUGUCUAGAAUGUAUUACGAUCGUCGACCGGCCUUGCGGUCGGGUGGCGGUCAAAUAAAUAAAUACAACUUUCAGCAACGGAUCUCUUGGCUCUCGCAUCGAUGAAGAACGCAGCGAAUUGCGAUAAGUAAUGUGAAUUGCAGAUUUUCAGUGAAUCAUCGAAUCUUUGAACGCACCUUGCGCUCCUUGGUAUUCCGAGGAGCAUGCCUGUUUGAGUGUCAUGUAAUUCUCAACCAUGUCUUGAUUGAUUUCGAGGCAUGGCUUGGACUUGGGGGCUGCUGGCGGCGAAAGCUGUCGGCUCUCCUGAAAUGCAUUAGCAACGGACAGCGAUGUCUGACGUGCACGGCCUUGACGUGAUAAUGAUCGUCGUCGCUGGAGCGUCGGACGCGCACACAAGUCCUCUUGCUUCGAAUCCUUUUGACUUGAGACUUGGACUUUCGAGCGAAGCGUCAGCUACUAGUCGGUCGUGAGGCCGGCGAACGCAGGCUUGCUCGGAGGUCGGAGUCCCUCGUCUUCCUUGACGACUUGACCUCAAAUCAGGUAGGACUACCC